Molecule: ribosomal RNA, 2775 nt
Filed under: Escherichia coli
Lineage: Bacteria; Pseudomonadati; Pseudomonadota; Gammaproteobacteria; Enterobacterales; Enterobacteriaceae
Description: bacterial LSU rRNA
Rfam family: Bacterial large subunit ribosomal RNA
Source: RNAcentral
AGCGUACACGGUGGAUGCCCUGGCAGUCAGAGGCGAUGAAGGACGUGCUAAUCUGCGAUAAGCGUCGGUAAGGUGAUAUGAACCGUUAUAACCGGCGAUUUCCGAAUGGGGAAACCCAGUGUGAUUCGUCACACUAUCAUUAACUGAAUCCAUAGGUUAAUGAGGCGAACCGGGGGAACUGAAACAUCUAAGUACCCCGAGGAAAAGAAAUCAACCGAGAUUCCCCCAGUAGCGGCGAGCGAACGGGGAGCAGCCCAGAGCCUGAAUCAGUGUGUGUGUUAGUGGAAGCGUCUGGAAAGGCGCGCGAUACAGGGUGACAGCCCCGUACACAAAAAUGCACAUGCUGUGAGCUCGAUGAGUAGGGCGGGACACGUGGUAUCCUGUCUGAAUAUGGGGGGACCAUCCUCCAAGGCUAAAUACUCCUGACUGACCGAUAGUGAACCAGUACCGUGAGGGAAAGGCGAAAAGAACCCCGGCGAGGGGAGUGAAAAAGAACCUGAAACCGUGUACGUACAAGCAGUGGGAGCACAGAGCAAUCUGUGUGACUGCGUACCUUUUGUAUAAUGGGUCAGCGACUUAUAUUCUGUAGCAAGGUUAACCGAAUAGGGGAGCCGAAGGGAAACCGAGUCUUAACUGGGCGUUAAGUUGCAGGGUAUAGACCCGAAACCCGGUGAUCUAGCCAUGGGCAGGUUGAAGGUUGGGUAACACUAACUGGAGGACCGAACCGACUAAUGUUGAAAAAUUAGCGGAUGACUUGUGGCUGGGGGUGAAAGGCCAAUCAAACCGGGAGAUAGCUGGUUCUCCCCGAAAGCUAUUUAGGUAGCGCCUCGUGAAUUCAUCUCCGGGGGUAGAGCACUGUUUCGGCAAGGGGGUCAUCCCGACUUACCAACCCGAUGCAAACUGCGAAUACCGGAGAAUGUUAUCACGGGAGACACACGGCGGGUGCUAACGUCCGUCGUGAAGAGGGAAACAACCCAGACCGCCAGCUAAGGUCCCAAAGUCAUGGUUAAGUGGGAAACGAUGUGGGAAGGCCCAGACAGCCAGGAUGUUGGCUUAGAAGCAGCCAUCAUUUAAAGAAAGCGUAAUAGCUCACUGGUCGAGUCGGCCUGCGCGGAAGAUGUAACGGGGCUAAACCAUGCACCGAAGCUGCGGCAGCGACGCUUAUGCGUUGUUGGGUAGGGGAGCGUUCUGUAAGCCUGUGAAGGUGUACUGUGAGGUAUGCUGGAGGUAUCAGAAGUGCGAAUGCUGACAUAAGUAACGAUAAAGCGGGUGAAAAGCCCGCUCGCCGGAAGACCAAGGGUUCCUGUCCAACGUUAAUCGGGGCAGGGUGAGUCGACCCCUAAGGCGAGGCCGAAAGGCGUAGUCGAUGGGAAACAGGUUAAUAUUCCUGUACUUGGUGUUACUGCGAAGGGGGGACGGAGAAGGCUAUGUUGGCCGGGCGACGGUUGUCCCGGUUUAAGCGUGUAGGCUGGUUUUCCAGGCAAAUCCGGAAAAUCAAGGCUGAGGCGUGAUGACGAGGCACUACGGUGCUGAAGCAACAAAUGCCCUGCUUCCAGGAAAAGCCUCUAAGCAUCAGGUAACAUCAAAUCGUACCCCAAACCGACACAGGUGGUCAGGUAGAGAAUACCAAGGCGCUUGAGAGAACUCGGGUGAAGGAACUAGGCAAAAUGGUGCCGUAACUUCGGGAGAAGGCACGCUGAUAUGUAGGUGAAGCGACUUGCUCGUGGAGCUGAAAUCAGUCGAAGAUACCAGCUGGCUGCAACUGUUUAUUAAAAACACAGCACUGUGCAAACACGAAAGUGGACGUAUACGGUGUGACGCCUGCCCGGUGCCGGAAGGUUAAUUGAUGGGGUCAGCGCAAGCGAAGCUCUUGAUCGAAGCCCCGGUAAACGGCGGCCGUAACUAUAACGGUCCUAAGGUAGCGAAAUUCCUUGUCGGGUAAGUUCCGACCUGCACGAAUGGCGUAAUGAUGGCCAGGCUGUCUCCACCCGAGACUCAGUGAAAUUGAACUCGCUGUGAAGAUGCAGUGUACCCGCGGCAAGACGGAAAGACCCCGUGAACCUUUACUAUAGCUUGACACUGAACAUUGAGCCUUGAUGUGUAGGAUAGGUGGGAGGCUUUGAAGUGUGGACGCCAGUCUGCAUGGAGCCGACCUUGAAAUACCACCCUUUAAUGUUUGAUGUUCUAACGUGGACCCGUAAUCCGGGUUGCGGACAGUGUCUGGUGGGUAGUUUGACUGGGGCGGUCUCCUCCUAAAGAGUAACGGAGGAGCACGAAGGUUGGCUAAUCCUGGUCGGACAUCAGGAGGUUAGUGCAAUGGCAUAAGCCAGCUUGACUGCGAGCGUGACGGCGCGAGCAGGUGCGAAAGCAGGUCAUAGUGAUCCGGUGGUUCUGAAUGGAAGGGCCAUCGCUCAACGGAUAAAAGGUACUCCGGGGAUAACAGGCUGAUACCGCCCAAGAGUUCAUAUCGACGGCGGUGUUUGGCACCUCGAUGUCGGCUCAUCACAUCCUGGGGCUGAAGUAGGUCCCAAGGGUAUGGCUGUUCGCCAUUUAAAGUGGUACGCGAGCUGGGUUUAGAACGUCGUGAGACAGUUCGGUCCCUAUCUGCCGUGGGCGCUGGAGAACUGAGGGGGGCUGCUCCUAGUACGAGAGGACCGGAGUGGACGCAUCACUGGUGUUCGGGUUGUCAUGCCAAUGGCACUGCCCGGUAGCUAAAUGCGGAAGAGAUAAGUGCUGAAAGCAUCUAAGCACGAAACUUGCCCCGAGAUGAGUUCU